GGAGGGAUGCCGGAGUGGUUGAACGGGCCGCACUCGAAAUGCGGUGUACCCCUGCUGGUACCCUGGGUUCGAAUCCCAGUCCCUCCGCCA
RNAcentral lists this transfer RNA (90 nucleotides) under Thermotomaculum hydrothermale. Its description in RNAcentral is "tRNA-Ser". It matches the Rfam family "tRNA". From Rfam's summary of the family: Transfer RNA (tRNA) molecules are approximately 80 nucleotides in length. Their secondary structure includes four short double-helical elements and three loops (D, anti-codon, and T loops). Further hydrogen bonds mediate the characteristic L-shaped molecular structure. tRNAs have two regions of fundamental functional importance: the anti-codon, which is responsible for specific mRNA codon recognition, and the 3' end, to which the tRNAs corresponding amino acid is attached (by aminoacyl-tRNA synthetases). tRNAs cope with the degeneracy of the genetic code in two manners: having more than one tRNA (with a specific anti-codon) for a particular amino acid; and 'wobble' base-pairing, i.e. permitting non-standard base-pairing at the 3rd anti-codon position. Lineage: Bacteria; Pseudomonadati; Acidobacteriota; Holophagae; Thermotomaculales; Thermotomaculaceae. The record is from RNAcentral.